This is a non-coding RNA of Chrysemys picta bellii (western painted turtle), 695 nucleotides long. Lineage: Eukaryota; Metazoa; Chordata; Testudines; Emydidae. The record is from RefSeq and is a predicted model, not a curated record.
CGUCCCUACUGCUGGUCUGCAUGUGCGGACGUCUGGAUUUUUGUGGUCAGCAGUGUCUGAGGCUGCACAUGCACUGAGUUCCCCUACAGCCCCUUACCCCCUGAGGGCAUGUAACGGGGUGAAGUGCAGACCCACCUCAGUUCCUUCACUAAUUUAGAAUCCAGGAGCAGUUUAAUCCCCAAAGUAAAGGGGAAGAAGAGAAGGGUGGAGAUUCACAGGAAGAUAUUGAGAACCAUAUUCCCUUCUUCUUCUUCUUCUACUGUGAGUGUGGAUCCUCACUAAUGCUGAAUAUAUUGAGGAUUGUUUGAAAUUGCAAGCUAUUACUUUGAGAGUGUCCCUGACCAACCGGCUCUGCAGAAAGCAUGUGACCAGAAAGAGCCCGCCGGCCUCGAGGAAGGUGGGGCUUCUUCUGGGCACUCGAUAUGGAACUACUGUGACGUUCCCCUGAUGUUAUCUGGACCGGUGAUCUGUUAGGUCACUCCAAUCCUUGACUCUGGGAGCCUGCCUUACCCUGCUCUGCAGUGAGAACCCCCACUCCUGGGCUGUUCACGCUCAGCCUCUGGCAGUCCUUAAUAUACAGGCUGAAGGUGAAUGCCCACAGCAGGCUGGUGAAGAUGAUGAAGAUCUCAGUCCUUGCCAGGUGCUCCCCCAAACACACAUGGUGCCCUGCAGAGGGACAAGGGGAAGGGCAGUAA